GUGGUUCGAUUCUGGCUCAGAUUGAACGCUGGCGGGAUGCUUUACACACCAUGCAAGUCGAACGGCAGCACGGACUUCGGCCUGGUGGCGAGUGGCGAACGGGCAAGAGUAAUGUAUCGGAACGUGCCUAGUAGCGGGGGAGAACUACGCGAAAGCGUGUAGCUAAUACCGCAUACGCCCUUCGGGAAAGCGGGGACCUUCGGGCCUCGCACUAUUAGAGCGGGGCCGAUAUCGGAUUAGCUAGUCGGUGGGGUAACGGCUCACCAAGGCGACGAUCCGUAGCUGGUUUGAGAGGACGACCAGCUACACUGGGACUGAGACACGGCCCAGACUCCUACGGAGGCAGCAGUGGGGAAUUUUGGACAAUGGGGAAACCCUGAUCCAGCCAUCCCGCGUGUGCGAUGAAGGCCUUCUAAGCAAAAGCACUUUGGCAGGAAAGAAACGGCACGGGAUAAUACCCUGUAACUGACGGUACCUGCAGAAUAAGCACCGGCUAACUACGUGCCAGCAGCCGCGGUAAUAAUGGUGGGUGCAAGCGUUAAUCGGAAUUACUGGCGGAAGCGUGCGCAGGCGGUUCGGAAAGAAAGAUAAAUCCCAGAGCUAACUUUGAAACUGCAUUUUAACUACCGAGCUAGAGGUCAGAGGGAGGAAUUCCGCGUGUGGCAGUGAAAUGCGUAGAUAUGUGGAGGAACACCGAUGGCGAAGGCAGCCUCCUGGACAACACCGGACGCUCAUGCACGAAAGUGCGGGAGCAAACAGGAUUAGAUACCCUGGUAGUCCUACGCCCUAAACGAUGUCAACUAGCUGUUGUAGCUUUCGGGCCUUAAAGGCAGCUAACGCGUGAAGUCGACCGCCUGGGGAGUACGGUCGCAAGAUUAAAACCUGUGCUGAAUUGACGGGGACCUGCACAAGCGGUGGAUGAUGUGGAUUAAUUCGAUGCAACGCGGAAAACCUUACUCUACCCUUGACAUGCCUGGAAUCCCGAAGAGAUUUGGGAGUGCUCGCAAGAGAACCGGAACACAGGUGCUGUAUGCACGCCGUCAGCUCGUGUCGUGAGAUGUUGGGUUGGCGUCCGCAACGAGCGCAACCCUUGUCAUUAGUUGCUGUCCAGAAAGGGCACCUGACGAGACUGCCGGUGACAAACUGGAGGAAGGUGGGGAUGAUGUCAAGUCCUCAUGGCCCUUAUGGGUAGGGCUUCGACACGUCAUACAAUGGUCGGGACAGAGGGUCGCCAACCCGCGAGGGGGAGCCAAUCCUGGUGAAACCCGAUCAAGUCCGGAUCGCGCAGUCUGCAACUCGACUGCGUGAAGUCAGAAUCGCUAGUAAUCGCGGAUCAGCAUGUCGCGGUGAAUACGUUCCCGGGUCUUGUACACACCGCCCGUCACACCAUGGAGUGGGUUUACCAGAAGUAGUUAGCCCAACUGCAAGGAGGGCGAUUACUACGGUAGGAUUCAUGAUCGGGGUGAAGCCGUGUAACAAGGCA
Molecule: ribosomal RNA, 1483 nt
Filed under: uncultured Bordetella sp.
Lineage: Bacteria; Pseudomonadati; Pseudomonadota; Betaproteobacteria; Burkholderiales; Alcaligenaceae
Description: partial 16S-23S ribosomal RNA intergenic spacer
Rfam family: Bacterial small subunit ribosomal RNA
Source: RNAcentral